GAUGAACGCUAGCGGCAGGCCUAACACAUGCAAGUCGAGGGAGGAGCCUUCGGGCUUCGACCGGCGUACGGGUGCGUAACGCGUAUACAAUCUGCCUUUCACAUAGGGAUAGCCCGAAGAAAUUUGGAUUAAUACCUAAUGGUAUAUAGAUGUGGCAUCACCUUUAUAUUAAAGCUGAGGCGGUGAAAGAUGAGUAUGCGUUCUAUUAGCUAGUUGGAGAGGUAACGGCUCCCCAAGGCGACGAUAGAUAGGGGUUCUGAGAGGGAUAUCCCCCACACUGGUACUGAGAUACGGACCAGACUCCUACGGGAGGCAGCAGUGAGGAAUAUUGGACAAUGGUCGGAAGACUGAUCCAGCCAUGCCGCGUGCAGGAAGACGGCCUUAUGGGUUGUAAACUGCUUUUGCAGGGGAAGAAUAAGGACUACGCGUAGUUUGAUGACGGUACUCUGCGAAUAAGCAUCCGCUAACUCCGUG
This 474-nucleotide ribosomal RNA is filed under the name uncultured bacterium. RNAcentral's name for it is "partial 16S ribosomal RNA". It matches the Rfam family "Bacterial small subunit ribosomal RNA", at positions 28 to 507 of the family's 1533-position model. The record is from RNAcentral.